Molecule: ribosomal RNA, 449 nt
Filed under: Spinomantis guibei
Lineage: Eukaryota; Metazoa; Chordata; Amphibia; Anura; Mantellidae
Description: partial 12S ribosomal RNA
Rfam family: Bacterial small subunit ribosomal RNA
Source: RNAcentral
AGCGCCAGGGUAUUACGAGCGCAAGCUUAAAAUCCAAAGGAUUUGACGGUGUUCCACCCGCCUAGAGGAGCCUGUUCUAUAAUCGAUGAUCCUCGAUACACCCCACCACUUCUUGCUCAGCCUGUAUACCGCCGUCGCAAGCUAACCACAUGAGUGAAGUUAGUUUAAAGCGUCAAUACGUCAGGUCAAGGUGCAGCCCACGAAGUGGAAAGCAAUGGGCUACAAUUUCUAAAAUAGAACAAACGAAAUACUACAUGAAAAAUGGUCAUGAAGGCGGAUUUAGUAGUAAAAGAAGAAUAGCGUGCUUCUUUAACCCGGCUCUGGAACGUGUACAAACCGCCCGUCACCCCCUUCAAUAGAGCGCCCUAGAAGGGGCAAGUCGUAACAUGGUAAGUGUACUGGAAAGUGCACUUGGUAACAAAGUGUAGCUUAAAAAGCCUUUCGCUUAC